UACGGAGGGUGCAAGCGUUAUCCGGAUUCACUGGGUUUAAAGCGUGCGUAGGUGGUUUGUUAAGUCUGUUGUGAAAGCCCCGGGCUCAACCUGGGAAUGGCAAUGGAUACUGGCAAGCUAGAGUGCGGUAGAGGGUAGUGGAAUUCCCGGUGUAGCGGUGAAAUGCGUAGAGAUCGGGAGGAACACCAGUGGCGAAGGCGGCUACCUGGACCAGCACUGACACUGAGGCACGAAAGCGUGGGGAGCAAACAGG
This 253-nucleotide ribosomal RNA is filed under the name uncultured bacterium. RNAcentral's name for it is "partial 16S ribosomal RNA". It matches the Rfam family "Bacterial small subunit ribosomal RNA", at positions 524 to 776 of the family's 1533-position model. The record is from RNAcentral.